GAUGAACGCUGGCGGCGUGCCUAAUACAUGCAAGUCGAGCGAACAGAUGAGGAGCUUGCUCCUCUGACGUUAGCGGCGGACGGGUGAGUAACACGUGGAUAACCUACCUAUAAGACUGGGAUAACUUCGGGAAACCGGAGCUAAUACCGGAUAAUAUAUUGAACCGCAUGGUUCAAUAGUGAAAGACGGUUUUGCUGUCACUUAUAGAUGGAUCCGCGCCGCAUUAGCUAGUUGGUAAGGUAACGGCUUACCAAGGCAACGAUGCGUAGCCGACCUGAGAGGGUGAUCGGCCAAACUGGAACUGAGACACGGUCCAGACUCCUACGGGAGGCAGCAGUAGGGAAUCUUCCGCAAUGGGCGAAAGCCUGACGGAGCAACGCCGCGUGAGUGAUGAAGGUCUUCGGAUCGUAAAACUCUGUUAUUAGGGAAGAACAAAUGUGUAAGUAACCAUGCACGUCUUGACGGUACCUAAUCAGAAAGCAACGGCUAGCUACGUG
This 497-nucleotide ribosomal RNA is filed under the name uncultured bacterium. RNAcentral describes it as "partial 16S ribosomal RNA". It matches the Rfam family "Bacterial small subunit ribosomal RNA", at positions 28 to 507 of the family's 1533-position model. The record is from RNAcentral.